ACUUCUGGUUAGCUCAGUUGGUAGAGCGCUCGACUGGAAAUGGAGAAGUCCCUGGUUCGAUAUCAGGAAAAAGCA
RNAcentral lists this transfer RNA (75 nucleotides) under Ixodes scapularis (black-legged tick). RNAcentral describes it as "tRNA-Ser". The stretch from base 9 to 68 matches the Rfam family "tRNA", at positions 7 to 64 of the family's 71-position model. From Rfam's summary of the family: Transfer RNA (tRNA) molecules are approximately 80 nucleotides in length. Their secondary structure includes four short double-helical elements and three loops (D, anti-codon, and T loops). Lineage: Eukaryota; Metazoa; Arthropoda; Arachnida; Ixodida; Ixodidae. The record is from RNAcentral.